This 2702-nucleotide long non-coding RNA is filed under the name Lynx pardinus (Iberian lynx). The record is from RNAcentral. Lineage: Eukaryota; Metazoa; Chordata; Mammalia; Carnivora; Felidae.
GUCCUUUCUGACAGCCAUUAAUAUGGUUUAUGGUUAAAUUGCUGGACCCCAUGUGGACUGAAAGGGCCUCUUUAUCUUUAAACAAACAUAUGAGGAAGGAGGAUCUCUCCCACCCCAGCCUAGACCUAUAUUUGUGAGACCACACCAUGGGUUUUUCCACCCAACCCAGCUAUCAAUCUUCCCUUGUUUGAGCUUUGAGAGAAAAAAAGAGAAGCAUGGGAAGUGGGGGACAUAAUCAGAAAGGGACUUUGGCUCUAUGUUAGCAGAGAGGAACAGAACGAACUCGGUCUGGCUUUUCUUGAAAAUGGAUGGAAAUUUGAGAAAAUCAAGGGCUCCCGUGGGGACUCUUUUGACUCUCCCUCCACCCAAAACACCACCCCUACCUUCAUCGGGCUUCCGGUACCACACAGGCUGGUGCGCAGGGUCCCUGCCGACAGCACUAGAGGCCACAUCCGAGACCCGGGCUUAGAGUGUUAUCAGCAACGACAGUCACGGUGGAACAGAAAGCCUCUGGUAAGUGUCCUGUGCCCACAGCACCGUGCUAGACGGUGUCGGAAAAACUCACAGCCACAACAGAGCUUCUAGUCCGAGAAAAACCUAACAGCCUUCUCAGGGAGCAACGGUAUGCUAAUGACAAGGUUGUUUUUGCUUUGUUUAAUUUUACCUGUAUCGUGGGGCCACGUGGUGGUGAAGUUCACAAGUUUUCUGUGUGGGACAAAACCAGGUUAGAACCCUGGUGCUUUGACCCAUGAAUGUGUGACCCUGAGCAAACGGUACGACUUCCCUGUGCCUCUUUCCUCCUCUAUGAAAUGGGGAUGAGCACAGUGACCACGCAGAGUUGUUGUAAGGCUAGAAUGGAGUCCCAUGGGAACCUGCCACGAGGCAAAUUCUCGGUAAAUGACUGCCGUUGGGGUUGGGCAGAGACCCAACAGCAUCUGGGGAGGACCAGCCGUGUGCAAGACAGCUUUCAGUUCUUGAGACAUAGUACUCAUUUCACCGCACAGGAAUCCUAUGUGGUAAGAACUAUUCUUAUUCUCAUUUUAUAGAUGUGAGGGAACUGAGGCACACUGGCCCGCGAUCACACAAUUACUAAGCGGCGAACCCAAGUUGUCUGGUUCCGGAGACGUCCUCACAAAGGGAGGUGUGGUUGUCGAUCUAAGUAACGGUGCUUCCAUUUCUGUUUAAACCACCUGAGUGGGAAUAUUUCAUUACUACCCUCCUUAUCUGCUGACGCCAGGCACUGAACAUCCAACAUCAACUGAACUCUGUCUCCUUGGACAGGCCCCAGGCUCAGUCUGGACGGCUGACCUCCAUGAACAUUUACCCUUGCCCUGGCCUCCCAAAAGGGGGACGGUUACAUAAAGUAAUGCCGACCUACAUUCUUGGUCAGGUUGCUUCUGGGUCCCCAGAGCAAAUCACCAAGGUGAACACGAGGUUCACCAAGAAAGAAGCACAAACUGAUGUCCGAUUCACUUUUACCCCCCACCCCCACCCCCUACCAUUAGCCCAACUUGGCCUCAAAUCAGUGGAUAUUGACUGGUUUGGCUUUACCACCCUUGUUCCCUCAAGGGAAGACUGGCUCUUUAAACACAACCCAAAAUGAAACAAAAACGAAACACAUAGCAACACAAAAGCUUAUAAUUUCUGAUUUUUGUGGGGAAAAAAAAAUAAGUUUGCAAAAAGUGGCUAUAACUACAGAAGAGUUCUUUGAAGAAAUUGCUUAAUUUUCAAAUACUUAAACACUAUCAAAUAAGAGAACAUUGCCAAAUGGGGUUCUGGAGACAAGAUUUAAUGAACAAGUGAUAAAAUCUAGUAAUUAUCCCAUUCCAUACAUAUAAUAUUUGCAUAGAUAAAGUUUGGCUCCUCAAAUAAUUAAACAUCAUUCCCUACAAAUUUGUUUUGCUAAUCGCCUCAGGAGAUACCGUUUCAAAAUAAAAAAUGAAAGUCUGAUUUUUUUAAUCUAAAUUAUCCAAAUUAGUGGACAUCUUACUACUGAAGUUCUGUGGUUAUUAGCUAAAAAAAAAAAAAGAAAAGAAAAGAAAAAUGUUUGCUAGGUCUUUUUUUUAAAGGAUACUCAACAAAGAUACCAACUAAAUCUUCUCUGGAGUUAUUAGCAUGAAACAAACAAAAGCAGCGACUGAGGUUCAGAGUCAUUAAUGCUGUUGUAAUACAUGCCCAUUCCUUACAAUGCCCCCAAACCACUACUAUGUAGUUCUCUGAGAAGAGUCAGAAGCCCAAGUUCAAAUGUAGAACUACCACUGGAUCGCUUGAGGAGAGCCAAAACACCCCUUAACUUAUCCAGGCCUCAGUCUCCUCCCUCCUGUAGAUGAGGGAACCAUCUCCGUAGGUUCUUCAGAGAUGGUGAUGACGAUAAUGUGGUGGCAGUGAUGGCCGUGACGGAGGUAGCCCCUGCUGUUUAGUGAGUCUUAUCAUAUGCCAAACACCCUUUGAAGCCUUUGACUUACAUUAACUCACAAUAUCUUCCUGGAAUGCUGGACCAAGGAUCUUUCCCCAAACUCCUGUCCAUUGUGCACUCUUGAACAAAAGACACUGUGGCAGACUAAGUUUUCAAAAAGUAGCCUUAACCAGGGGCACCUGGGUGGCUCAGUCGGUUGAGCGUCUGACUUCAACUCAGGUCAUGAUCUCUCAGUUCACGAGUUCAAGCCCCGCGUCGGGCUCUGUGCUGACAGCUCAGAGCCUGG